Molecule: ribosomal RNA, 404 nt
Filed under: uncultured bacterium
Lineage: Bacteria
Description: partial 16S ribosomal RNA
Rfam family: Bacterial small subunit ribosomal RNA
Source: RNAcentral
AUUGAACGCUGGCGGCAGGCCUAACACAUGCAAGUCGAGCGAGCGGCGGACGGGAGAGUAAUGCCUGGGAAUUGCCCAGUCGAGGGGGAUAACAGUUGGAAACGCCUGCUAAUACCGCAUACGAUUGGAUUGCCCAGGUGGGAUUAGCUAGUUGGUGAGGUAAUGGCUCACCAAGGCGACGAUCUCUAGCUGGUCUGAGAGGAUGAUCAGCCACACUGUAACUUAGAAAAGGUGCAGACGCCUACGGGAGGCAGCGGUGGGGAAUAUUGCACAAUGGUGGAAAGCCUGAUGCAGCCAUGCCGCGUGUGUGAAGAAGGCCUUCGGGUUGUAAAGCAGUUUCAGCGAGGAGGCGUUACUCGCAGAAGAAGCACCGGCUAACUCCGUGCCAGCAGCCGCGGUAAUUC